AACAGGAUUAGAUACCCUGGUAGUCCACGCCCUAAACGAUGUCAACUAGUUGUUGGUAGAGUAAAAUCUAUGAGUAACGCAGCUAACGCGUGAAGUUGACCGCCUGGGGAGUACGAUCGCAAGAUUAAAACUCAAAUGAAUUGACGGGGGCCCGCACAAGCGGUGGAUUAUGUGGAUUAAUUCGAUGCAACGCGAAAAACCUUACCUGGCCUUGACAUGUACGGAACUUUCCAGAGAUGGAUUGGUGCUCGAAAGAGAACCGUAACACAGGUGCUGCAUGGCUGUCGUCAGCUCGUGUCGUGAGAUGUUGGGUUAAGUCCCGCAACGAGCGCAACCCUUGCCAAUAAUUGCCAUCAUUUAGUUGGGCACUUUAUUGGGACUGCCGAUGACAAAUCGGAGGAAGGUGGGGAUGACGUCAAGUCCUCAUGGCCCUUAUGGCCAGGGCUUCACACGUAAUACAAUGGUCGGUACAGAGGGUCGCCAACCCGCGAGGGGGAGCUAAUCCCAGAAAGCCGAUCGUAGUCCGGAUUGUUCUCUGCAACUCGAGAGCAUGAAGUCGGAAUCGCUAGUAAUCGCGGAUCAGCAUGUCGCGGUGAAUACGUUCCCGGGCCUUGUACACACCGCCCGUCACACCAUGGGAGUGGGUUUUACCAGAAGUAGGUAGUCUAACCGCAAGGAGGGCGCUUACCACGGUAGUAUUCAUGACUGGGGUGAAGUCGUAACAAGGUAACC
RNAcentral lists this ribosomal RNA (732 nucleotides) under uncultured bacterium. RNAcentral's name for it is "bacterial SSU rRNA". It matches the Rfam family "Bacterial small subunit ribosomal RNA", at positions 771 to 1501 of the family's 1533-position model. The record is from RNAcentral.